Molecule: ribosomal RNA, 400 nt
Filed under: uncultured bacterium
Lineage: Bacteria
Description: bacterial SSU rRNA
Rfam family: Bacterial small subunit ribosomal RNA
Source: RNAcentral
CCGGGAAUCGUGCGCAAUGGACGAAAGUCUGACGCCGCGACGUCGCGUGAAGGAUGAAGGCGGUUUCGUUGUAAACUUCUUUUGCCAUAUGGGUGACCAUAUGGAGAAUAAGCACCUGCUAACUCUGUGCCAGCAGCCGCGGUAAUACAGAGGGUGCAAGCGUUAUCCGGAUUUAUUGGGCGUAAAGCGUUUCGUAGGCUGUUUUGUAAGUUAUGUUUCAAAGACCACGGCUCAACCGGGGAAAGGGACGUAAUACUGCAAGACUAGAGAAUUUUAGGGGCAAUCGGAACUGGUGGUGUAGGGGUGAAAUCCGUUGAUAUCAACAGGAACGUCAAGGGCGUAGGCAGAUUGCUGGGAAAUAUCUGACGCUGAGGAACGACAGCUAAGGGAGCGAAAGGGA